GUUUCUCUCUCUACUCUUUCUCUCUAGUUUUUCUCUUUACUUUUCUCUCUCUAAAACUUCGACUGAUCAUAACUUUUGAUCCGUAUCUCCUAUUCAGGAUCCGCGAAAAGCUAUGUAUUUGUCUUGAUGUCCUCUUUCUUAUCCAUAGAGGUUUGAGUUAGAUCCAACGGUUAUUUCUAGAAGGCUCGUAUUAGAAGGCUCGGUUUACGAUCGAUGUUCUAGGAGACGAUUCGUAUUGUCGAGGAGGUUUGUGGAUCAACCAUGGAAAAAUAGGAGCUCAAUUGUGGCAAGUUAAGGCUCAGAUAUAUAAUAGUGAUGCAAAAGAUGAAGGAAAACCAUUUAUGUGGUCAGAAACAAUAAGGGAAGCUUGUGGAAAAAUUCGUGCAAAACAGUUGCUGAGAAGCAGAAAAUGAAAACUGGAAUCUGCCUUAUUUUCUUCUGUAUUUGGACCCCAUUUUGAAGAUAUUUUGAGGGCACCAUGGCAGCAAAUUCUUGACUACAUUUGAAAACCAGAUAUUUCACUAUAAUAAAGCCAAAUCAAGUGGUCAUAAUAGUCAAGGAUGAAGUCAGAAACGUUGCACAAAGCAGGCCUCCUGAUCAGCUUUCCACCUUCAGUCUUAUCUAUGAAGCAUAUUGGAGCUGUCUUUUGGAGACUUUCUUGGAAAGUCUUUUGGAAGGUUAUUGUUUGGACGUCAAUAAAUGAUGUCAUAGGGAAUUAUAGGCCUAAGAAACUUUCAGAAAGAUAGCUACAAGGUCUGUGUACAAGCCCAUAAAUUUGACCAGAAGAUAAGGAAAAUCUGGAAAUUUCUGACAGACC
Rosa rugosa (rugosa rose) is the source of this 817-nucleotide long non-coding RNA. RefSeq lists it as uncharacterized. The record is from RefSeq and is a predicted model, not a curated record. NCBI's taxonomy places the organism in Eukaryota, Viridiplantae, Streptophyta, Magnoliopsida, Rosales, Rosaceae. The transcript has 2 exons.